GAUUAUCUUCAGGGAAAGGUGAAAUUCCUUAACCGGCAGUAGAGUCUGCGAGUCCUACGGGAUUGAAUUGGUGUGAUUCCAAUACCGACAGUAUAGUCUGGAUGAAAGAAGAUUUAU
Molecule: non-coding RNA, 117 nt
Filed under: Anaerococcus prevotii
Lineage: Bacteria; Bacillati; Bacillota; Tissierellia; Tissierellales; Peptoniphilaceae
Also listed under: 1 other name
Description: FMN sequence
Rfam family: FMN riboswitch aptamer (RFN element)
About the family: The RFN element is a highly conserved domain that is found frequently in the 5'-untranslated regions of prokaryotic mRNAs that encode for flavin mononucleotide (FMN) biosynthesis and transport proteins. This element is a metabolite-dependent riboswitch that directly binds FMN in the absence of proteins.
Source: RNAcentral